GACGAACGCUGGCGGCGUGCUUAACACAUGCAAGUCGAACGGAAAGGCCUCUUUCGGGGGGUACUCGAGUGGCGAACGGGUGAGUAACACGUGAGUAACCUGCCCUUGACUUUGGGAUAACUUCAGGAAACUGGGGCUAAUACCGGAUAGGAGCUCCUGCUGCAGGGUGGGGGUUGGAGAGUUUCGGGGGUUGGGGGUGGCCUUGCGGCGUAUCGGCUUGGUGGGGGGGUGGUGGCUUACCAAGGCGUUGACGGGUAGCCGGCCUGUGAGGGUGAGCGGCCACAUUGGGACUGAGAUACGGCCCAGACUCCUACGGGAGGCAGCAGGGGGGAAUAUUGCACAAUGGGUGGAAGCCUGAUGCAGCAACGCCGUGUGCGGGAUGACGGCCUUCGGGUUGUAAACCGCUUUCGCUCAUGACGAAGCUUUGUGUGACGGUAGUGGGUAAAGAAGCACCGGCUAACUACGUG
This 467-nucleotide ribosomal RNA is filed under the name uncultured bacterium. RNAcentral describes it as "partial 16S ribosomal RNA". It matches the Rfam family "Bacterial small subunit ribosomal RNA", at positions 28 to 507 of the family's 1533-position model. The record is from RNAcentral.